Molecule: ribosomal RNA, 2205 nt
Filed under: human gut metagenome
Description: bacterial LSU rRNA
Rfam family: Bacterial large subunit ribosomal RNA
Source: RNAcentral
UGAAUUAAGGAAGCGAAGAAGCGGAGGUGUCCGAAUGGGGGAACCCGGCAGCAGACAUGAGCUGUCAUCUGCAGGUGAAUACAUGGCCUGCAAGAGAGGUACCCGGCGAACUGAAACAUCUAAGUAGCCGGAGGAAAAGAAAACAACAGUGAUUCCCUGAGUAGCGGCGAGCGAAAGGGGAGAAGCCCAAACCGGUCCGAGGACCGGGGUUGAAGGACCAUGAUAUGGCAAGAACGAGGAUAGGAGAACGGGAUCGAAAGCCCGGCCGAAGAAGGUGAAAGCCCUGUAACCGAAAUCCGAGUAAAGCCUAAUGGGAUCCUGAGUACGGCGAGACACGAGGAAUCUUGUCGGAAGCAGGCGGGACCAUCCGCCAAGGCUAAAUAUAAACGAGUGAGCGAUAGUGAACCAGUACCGUGAGGGAAAGGUGAAAAGAACCGCGGGAGCGGAGUGAAAGAGAACCUGAAACCGUAUGCCUACAAGAAGUCAGAGCCCGUUAAGGGGUGAUGGCGUGCCUUUUGUAGAAUGAACCGGCGAGUUGCGACAGACUGCGAGGUUAAGGAGGAAAGACCGGAGCCGAAGCGAAAGCGAGUCUUAAGAGGGCGAAAGUAGGAUGUUGCAGACCCGAAACCGGGUGAUCUAGCCAUGAGCAGGUUGAAGUUGAGGUGAAACUCAAUGGAGGACCGAACCGACUACCGUUGAAAAGUUAGCGGAUGACUUGUGGCUAGGGGAGAAAUUCCAAUCGAACCCGGAGAUAGCUGGUUCUCCCCGAAAUAGCUUUAGGGCUAGCGUCGGAAAGAACCUUAGUGAAGGUAGAGCACUGAAUGUGUGAUGGCCCCAUCCCGGGGUACUGAAUACAAUCAAACUGCGAAUGUCAUUAAGGAUGUCCGGCAGUCAGACUGUGAGUGAUAAGGUCCAUGGUCAAGAGGGAAACAGCCCAGACCGCCAGUUAAGGUCCCAAAAUACAGGCUAAGUGGAAAAGGAUGUGGGGAUGCCCAGACAACUAGGAGGUUGGCUCAGAAGCAGCCAUCCUUUAAAGAGUGCGUAACAGCUCACUAGUCGAGUGACCCUGCGCCGAAAAUGUACCGGGGCUAAGCCUGAUACCGAAACUGCGGAUUGUAGGAAACUAUAGUGGUAGGGGAGCGUUGUAUACGAGUGGAAGCCGUACCGUGAGGAGCGGUGGAUUGUAUAGAAGUGAGAAUGCCGGUGUGAGUAGCGAGAUGUAGGUGAGAAUCCUACACACCGAAAGCCCAAGGAUUCCAGGGGAAGGUUCGUCCGCCCUGGGUAAGUCGGGACCUAACGCGAGGCCGAAAGGCGUAGUGGAUGGAAAGCAGGCGAAAGAUUCCUGCACCCGUAUAUGGAGCGAAGGAGUGACGGAGACGGAUAGUGUGACCCUCUUAAUGGAUUGAGGGCGAAGCGAAGCGGCUGGUUACCAGGCAAAUCCGGUAACCGAAAAGGCUAGAGCGUGACAGGUAAGCGAAAUCUUAGGAAAGUAGCGAAGCACAUGAUGACGGCUUCCAGGAAAAGCUUCUGGCAAUGCAUAUGCGGCCCGUACCAAAACCGACACAGGUGGGCAGGGAGAGAAUCCCGAGGUGAGCGAGAGAACUGUUGCCAAGGAACUCGGCAAAAUGACUCCGUAAGUUAGCGAGAAGGAGUGCUUAAGCAAUUAAGCCGCAGUGAAGAGGCCCAAGCGACUGUUUAACUAAAACACAGCUCUCUGCGAAGUCGCAAGACGAAGUAUAGGGGGUGACACCUGCCCGGUGCUGGAAGGUUAAGAGGAUCUGUUAAGAGCGAUCUGAAGCAGUGAUCCGAAGCCCCAGUGAACGGCGGCCGUAACUAUAACGGUCCUAAGGUAGCGAAAUUCCUUGUCAGGUAAGUUCUGACCCGCACGAAAGGUGUAACGAUUUGGGCGCUGUCUCGGCAGCAGACUCGGUGAAAUCUUAGUACCUGUGAAAAUGCAGGUUACCCGCAACUAGACGGAAAGACCCCAUGGAGCUUUACUGCAGCCUGAUAUUGAAUUCUGGUCAUACAUGUACAGGAUAGGUGGGAGACAAAGAGACGUGCACGCCAGUGUACGAGGAGUCGCUGUUGGGAUACCACUCUUGUGUGACCGGGGUUCUAACCUGGUAUCGAGAACAGGUACGGGGAGAGUGUCAGGUGGGCAGUUUGACUGGGGCGGUCGCCUCCCAAAGAGUAACGGAGGCGCCC